AAAGCUUUAUAUUUAUGUUGUAUUGGUUGCCAAGAAGUACUGAGUAUGGUGUUUCCUAUUUUACAGGUUACCUAUACAAAUAACACAUUUUAAGAAGUUAAACUCCAAGGAACCAUUAGGAGGAAAUACGAAAAGAAUUCAAACGUGACUCAGGAUAACAUGGACUGAAAGAUAAAUGUAUGCAUAAAUGAUAUGAACAAGGAAUUAAUACAUUUGAUCGUUGGCCUCAUGCAGUUCUGGAUGCAAAGCUCAGGAGGCCAGAUGAUGACUAUGAGAUUGUUUUUUAACUUGCUUCUGAAUCCCUAAAGAAUACGGAGCCUCCUGCAGGACAGCCCUUUUUAUAUGCCAAAAAGUACUAAAAAGUAAGCUGCAUUUUAACAAGAUUUCUGUUUUUAAACAAAUGAAGAUGUACC
Molecule: long non-coding RNA, 413 nt
Filed under: Anser brachyrhynchus (Pink-footed goose)
Lineage: Eukaryota; Metazoa; Chordata; Aves; Anseriformes; Anatidae
Description: lncRNA (ENSABRG00000001853.1)
Source: RNAcentral